GGCCUGGCCGGGCGGUCCGCUUAACAGCGUGUACUGUCUGGCUGGGUCUUACCUCUUGGUGAGCUGGCGUGCCCUUUACUGGUGUGCGUCGGGGAACCAGGACUUUUACCUUGAGAAAAUUAGAGUGUUCAAAGCAGGCAUGUUUGUCUGAAUACAUUAGCAUGGAAUAAUAGAAUAGGACAUGCGGUUCUAUUUUGUUGGUUUCUAGAGUCGCUGUA
This 218-nucleotide ribosomal RNA is filed under the name uncultured fungus. RNAcentral describes it as "partial small subunit ribosomal RNA". The stretch from base 92 to 218 matches the Rfam family "Eukaryotic small subunit ribosomal RNA", at positions 738 to 864 of the family's 1831-position model. The record is from RNAcentral. Lineage: Eukaryota; Fungi.